This 4013-nucleotide long non-coding RNA is filed under the name Homo sapiens (human). RNAcentral describes it as "HSALNT0030066". Lineage: Eukaryota; Metazoa; Chordata; Mammalia; Primates; Hominidae. The record is from RNAcentral.
UUGGGAGAGAUUGAGACUGGAGAUACUAAUUUGGAAGUUAUCUACACAUAAUCUUCAAACCAUGGGGCUAGAUGUGAUCAGCUGGGGAGUGAGUAUAGCUGGAGAAGAGGUCCAAGAACUAAGCUCCAGAAUAUUCUGAUUUUUAAGAGUCAGAAAGACAAAAAAAGACACAGCAAGGGAGACAGAAGGAGAGACUAGAAAGGUAGGAGAACCAGGUGAAAGUGGUAACCUAGAACCCAAGGAUUGACUGAUCCACCAAGUCAUUGCCUCUGAGAACUGAGUAAAAAGAGACUGGAGAUUAGAUCGGAGCUCCAAGCUAAGGUCUGCAGAGCACCAGCUUACAGGGAGGUGCUGAAGAGUCCCGGCUGCAGUGCGUCAGGGUGAGUGUGCUGGGGGGUUUGGAUAAGGUUUCACCAAUAAAGUUCUAGGCCACUCUCCUACCUUCAACCAGAUCUGCACUGCUUUUAUCUUUGGGGUUUUCGUGUGAGAUAUCCUUCAAAGAAAGGACUUUACUACUUAAAAUACAAAAACGUUGAAAACUGUUGGAGUACAUUCUACCACUGGGAAAGAGGCAAAAACGUGGACAGGGACCGUCCGUGCAGUGCAGCCCCAAGGAGAAUCUAAAGCUGAGGGUGAAAACCAUAGAGUAAAUCAAGCUUGUCCAACCCGCAGCCCACCGGUGGCAUGCGACCCAGGAUGGCUUUGAAUGUGGCCCAAUACAAAACCAUAAACUUUCUUAAAACAUAAUGGGCUGGCUGCAGUGGCUCACAUCUGUAAUCCCAGUACUUUGGAAGGCUGAGGUGGGUGGAUCACCUGAGGUCAGGAUUUUGAGACCAGCCUGGCCAAUAUGGCGAAAUCCUAUCUCUACUAAAAAUACAAAAAUGGCUGACUCUUUUCGGACUCAGCCCGCCUGCACCCAGGUGAAAUCAACAGCCUUGUUGCUCACCCACAUUGCAGCCCAGGGCUGCUCCCCACCCGCUUCUCCGUGUCUCUACCUUUUUCUUAACCUUGCCUCCUUCACUAUAGGCAAGCUUCCACCCUCCAUUCCUCCUUCUUCUCCCUUAGCCUGUGUUCUUAAGAACUUAAAACCUCUUCAACUCUCGCCUGACCUAAAAUCUAAGCAUCUUAUUUUCUUCUGCAACACCGCUUAGCCCCAAUACAAACUUGACAAUGGCUCUAAAUAGCCAGAAAACGGCACUUUCAAUUUUUCCAUCCUACAAGAUCUAGAUAAUUCUUGUCGUAAAAUGGGCAAAUGGUCUGAGGUGCCUAACGUCCAGGCAUUCUUUUACAUAUCAGUCCCUCCCCUCUGUUCCCAAUGCAACUCAUCCCAAAUCUUCCUUCUUUCCCUUCCGCCUGUCCCCUCAGUCCCAACCCCAAGCAUUGCUGGGUCUUUCUAAUCUUCCUUUUCUACAGACCCAUCUGACCUCUCCCCUCCUCGCCAGGCCGAGCUAGGUCCCAAUUCUUCCUCAGCCUCGGCUCCUCCACCCUAUAAUCCUUUUAUCACCUCCCCUCCUCACACCCAGUCCAGCUUACAGUUUCAUUCCGCAACUAGCCGUCUCCCACCUGCCCAGCAAUUUCCUCUUAAAAAGGUGGCUGGAGCUAAAGGCAUAGUCAAGGUUGAUGCUCCUUUUUCUUUAUCCGACCUCUCCCAAAUCAGUUAGCGUUUAGGCUCUUUCAUCAAAUAUAAAAACCCAGCCCAGCUCACGGCUCAUUUGGCAGCAGCCCUGAGACGCUUUACAGCCCUAGACCCUGAAAGGUCAAAAGGCCGUCUUAUUCUCAAUAUACAUUUUAUUUUUUACCCAAUCUGCUCCCGACAUUAAAUAAAUCUCCAAAAAUUAAAUUCCAGCCCUCAAACCCCACAACAGGACUUAAUUAACCUCACCUUCAAGGUGAACAAUAAUAGAGUAGCAGCAGCCAAGUAGCAACAUAUUUCUGUGUUGCAAUUCCUUGCCUCCACUGUGAGCCAAACCCCAGCCACAUCUCCAGCACACAAGAACUUCCAAACGCCUGACGGCAGCUGCAAGGCGUUCCUCCAGAACCUCCUCCCACAAGAGCUUGCUACAAGUGCAAGAAAUCUGGCCACUGGGUCAAGGAAUGCCCACAGCCCAGGAUUCCUCCCAAGCUGUGUCCCAUCUGUGCCACUGAAAAUCGGACUGUUCAACUCACCUAGCAGCCACUCCCAGAGGCCCUGGAACUCUGGCCCAAGGCUCUCUGACUCCUUCCCAGAUCUUCUCGGCUUAGCAGCUGAAGACUGAGACUGCCCGAUUGCCUCGAAAGCCUACAGGACCAUCACAGACUCUCUGGGUAACUCACAGUGGAAGCCCCUUGGAACACAGCAGUAGCUUUACACAAUGCUAUCUGCCCCUUGCAACAAAGCAGUAAUUUCACUACUUGAGGGAUGGAAAAGAUGUACCAUAAAAGACACAGAGGCGAUAGACAAAAGGGAAGUAAGAUUCAGGUCUUGCACAGAAACUGAGCCUUGAUUUUCCGCAGAAUAUACUGUGACCAAGCCUCCUGCAGGGCUGCCUGUACGUUAAAGAAAUGGAAGCGUCUUGAAUCGUGUCCAUCGUCCCUCCUUUACACAAAGUAAUCACCUCCAGCUGGGCCAAGUUGAUUGAGGAAACGUUCAGUUUUCACAUGAUUUUGCUGUAGCACCAUAAUGAAUGUAUUUCUUUGAUGGAAGAAAGAAGCUUCAUGAAAUAAACUGCUUAAGGAUUUGAAGUUGGAGCUGAAAACAUGGGCUGCUUUGUUCUUAAUGACAACUGCUUUGCCAUCUAAAACAUUUCUCCUUUUUGAAGGAUCUGUCUUUUCUCUUCCAGCCACAACCCUCGAGCUACAAUAACAGGCUCAUGAUUUUUUUAGAUGCCAAGGUUAUGAAUACUCUUUUAUGAAUAUUUUCCUUUGAACUCAUUUCUCUUGAAGAAGAAAAAUAGCCCUACAUAUUGCAGGAUUGACAAUAACAGACAAAACGUACAAAUUGUUCUCUUAGGGGCAGUAAAAUGCUCCAAAAUGCACAUAGAAAAAUUCCAAAUGCAACCUGAUGUUUAUGGAGCACUGCCUUUGCAGCUAUAAUUUUUAGAAAGUAAUAUUUCUGACUGACAUGAAUUAUACAGAGCAUAUUUCAGAGACUAAUAUCAGGUUAAUGCCUUAAAAUGUCUCCGUUUAUGACAUCAUGGCUGCUUUUCCUAUAUCAGUGCAAACUCUUAGUGAGUAGAAUUUGAGGAUAUGUCUUUUCAAAGGAAGAAAACCUUCACUGAAUUAAGCUGCUUAUGGUUUUAUUUUUUCUUUUAUCCCAUUUCAACAUAUCCACCAACCUCCUCUAAAAAUAAUUCAACUAAUGUGAACUCAACAGAUUAUAGUAGAUCUCUUAUUAAUUUCAUUUUGCCUCCAAAGGAGCUUAUCAUUUAGGCUUAUAAUUAUGUAUGCAGUACUGUCGACUAAUGUUUAGGUUCCUCAUUAAAACUUCAUUUCAUUCUGUUUUAAUAUCAUCAGUCUGUUAGACCAUUUAUUUUCUCAUGUUAAAAAAUAUGUGUUUUCCCUGAACUCUUUCCAUAUGUUUUCUCUCAUCCAAAAAAUCCAGAAAACUCAGCUCCCUUUAAUCCUGCUUUGUGGCUUAGAUACUUUAGCCUGGAACCACUCGUGUUGAUUUGUAUAUACCCACACUUACGCAAAAAUAGCCUUCACUACGGCAGAGUAAUCAUUCUGCAUAGAAAUUAUGUGUCUCUGAAGCCUAUGUUGUCAGGUGAAUCGUGGCAGCAAUGACCUAAGAAUGCAUCCCCAGUUUGAAAUGACCUAUAAAAAUUUCAAGAUACAACUAUUGCUUUGCAUUUGGCAUCGGGAAUAUUCUGUAUAGUUCUUUUCAUGUAAAUGGGCAAUAUUCUAGAAUGGUUCCCAAGUAUAAGCUUUAGAGCUAGACUUCUUGGGUACAACUCCCACUAUUACCACUUACUAGUUAUGUAAUAUUGGAAAAUACACUUAACUACUCUGAGCAUCAUAAAGUAAGCUUACUAACA